RNAcentral lists this transfer RNA (72 nucleotides) under Ornithorhynchus anatinus (platypus). It matches the Rfam family "tRNA". Rfam says of the family: Transfer RNA (tRNA) molecules are approximately 80 nucleotides in length. The record is from Rfam by way of RNAcentral. Lineage: Eukaryota; Metazoa; Chordata; Mammalia; Monotremata; Ornithorhynchidae.
AGCAAUGUGGCUUAGUGGAAAGAGCACGGGCUUGGGAGCCAGAGGACCUGGGUUCUAAUCCCGGCUCUGCCG